UUUUCGUGUUGGUUCAGUUGGU
This 22-nucleotide non-coding RNA is filed under the name Arabidopsis thaliana (thale cress). Lineage: Eukaryota; Viridiplantae; Streptophyta; Magnoliopsida; Brassicales; Brassicaceae. The record is from RNAcentral.